CGGAAACAGAAGCCCUAAUUGUGGCCAUGUGAAGUGCACUUUCCCGUUUUGUAGCUUUUGUAAUAGAAUUGCACAAUACUUUAUAAAGUAACUUUUAUAGACAGACCCAGAAAUGACUUUUUCCAUCUUUGGGGAUAAAUGGUCAGACUUGAUCUGUGAAAUAUGCGAAGAAGAACUGACAUUAUGGUGCAAAUGUAGCAGACAAAAGGGUUUGGGCGAGCUUUUGCCGGUUAAAUUUGGCUAACCUGCAGAAAGCCUAUUGUCAAGCCAGCCAUGCUUCACUGAGCUCUCUUCCCUCUUUAUGGUUAAGUGAACCUCAAAACAAUGACAAAGAAAUAUGCACUGAGUCACAUAUUCUAAGAAAUAGACUGUACUCUCCUCAAAUCGAAAUAACGGCACUUUAAUUCUUGGAUUUUCCACAUUUUCGUUGGUAAAGCUCCUAUUUGCUUUCUCUGAAUCUGUAUCAGUUCAUGCAGUUCUGCCAAGUGGGGAAGCUUUGCAGGACACUGCCACUGUAGCACUUGAAAUAUUAAGAUGAACAGAACAAGCAAAAGGUGGGAAAACUGGAAAGAUUGAAUGUCCUUUGGAGUUCACAGAGGUUUGGCAGUGGGAGGAGAAAAACAAAACGAAGCAUAGUGGGAGUGUUGAACAGACUUUCCCAAGAUCCCCAGGAAAAGCAAAGCUACUACAAGAACUCACUACAUCAAUGCGUGUUCAUUAUUGAGAACAUCCUAGGAGAGCGUGCAUCAUCACAGGCUGCUCUGAGGUCUGUGCCCAAUCAAGCAAAGAACAACGGGGAUAAUCACACUGUGCAGAGGGUGACCAAUUUAGAAAAAAAGGACCCUUAAGAAGGUCUUCCAACUUCCUUAAAUGACUUUCAUUAAUUUUACACCUUUUGCCAAUUAAUUGCACUUAUGAGCCUUCCUUGUCAAUUACUGCAUUCUCAUUUUCGGCAAUUGAACUAAUCUUGGCCUAUUCAUAUUUUGUUUUUUAAAUAGGUAUUUCCAAUUAUUGAUAUAGAUCUUUAUAAUUACAUUACAAAUGUUUCACCAUAUUUAUUCAUUCUUUAUAGAGACAAAAUAAAGGUUCUAUCAUCUACACUUAAAACAUGUACUUUUUUCUUUACAGCACAACUUACAAUAUAC
Molecule: long non-coding RNA, 1145 nt
Filed under: Homo sapiens (human)
Lineage: Eukaryota; Metazoa; Chordata; Mammalia; Primates; Hominidae
Description: HSALNT0036828
Source: RNAcentral